AGAGUUUGAUUCUGGCUCAGAACGAACGCUGGCGGCAGGCCUAACGCAUGCAAGUCGAGCGCGCCCUUCGGGGUGAGCGGCGGACGGGUUAGUAACGCGUGGGAACGUACCCUUUGGUAGGGAAUAGCCACUGGAAACGGUGAGUAAUACCCUAUGAGCCCUUCGGGGGAAAGAUUUAUCGCCAAAGGAUCGGCCCGCGUUAGAUUAGGUAGUUGGUGGGGUAAUGGCCUACCAAGCCUACGAUCUAUAGCUGGUUUUAGAGGAUGAUCAGCAACACUGGGACUGAGACACGGCCCAGACUCCUACGGGAGGCAGCAGUGGGGAAUCUUGGACAAUGGGGGCAACCCUGAUCCAGCCAUGCCGCGUGAGUGAAGGAGGCCUUAGGGUCGUAAAGCUCUUUCGCCUGUGAAGAUAAUGACGGUAGCAGGUAAAGAAACCCCGGCUAACUCCGUGCCAGCCGCGGC
This 464-nucleotide ribosomal RNA is filed under the name uncultured bacterium. RNAcentral describes it as "bacterial SSU rRNA". It matches the Rfam family "Bacterial small subunit ribosomal RNA", at positions 8 to 518 of the family's 1533-position model. The record is from RNAcentral.